CAAUAACACCGAAAUAUGAAAGUUUUUCUCAUAUUAAAUGAAUUAAGUAACGCUUCACUGUAUUAAACAAAUACAACUUAAAAUUUAGUAACAUUCUCAUCUACCAAACAGACACCUAUACCAUCAUGUCACAUUCCUGAUGUGAUUAAGCAUUGUCUAUAUCAAGCAAACGCAAACAAAAACCCAAUCCCCUAAUUUCAUGUUUGUAACGCAACCAAAUAAUAUUUUAUUUAUUUUUCAUCCCAUUUUUAUUACUGUUGUCAUCAAAAUAAUCAACAAAAUAUGUAUAUGGCAGUUAUUUAUUUGUUCAAAAUUAUUAACCUGACAUACAUAAUAAUAUACAUAUCUUUAGUACUAAAAUGACUAAAAAUUUGGAGGCAACGUGCAUCAAACGGCUAAGAGAUACAACAUAUAUGAUAGCCAGCAACUUUAUUUGCAGAUCCCCCGACAAUUAUUAUCUUAAUGACAGAUUUAAUUCGUUAUUAAUUCUAGCUUUUGAGUACCCUUCUCUGUUUUUUUCACAAGAACAAGAAGAACAAGAGGGAGGAGGAGGAGGAGGAGAAGAGUGGAUCAAAUUCAAAAGCAUGGACUGAUCUCAUUGAAUUGAUAUUGAACCAUGUUCUUAAAGACUGAUCUCAUUGAAUUGAUAUUGAACCAUGUUCUUAAAGAAACAGAGAGAUUGAUUGCUGGGUUGAAAAUUCAUUGAAGGUUAAGAGGAACAGAGCAUCACUCGCCUUUUUGGAAGCCUUCUCCACAAGCUUUCUGACAAACAUUGAUGAUGGUGAUGAAAAGGAAGAUCUGGUCUAUGCUCUGCUGUUUUCAGAAUCUGAGAGACCACCAAAAAACCCAACUCCUGAGAUGAAGACAAGGACGACCUGAGAAGGCCAAAGUUCUCUGCUUUGAAAUAACCGACGACAGAGACCAGAGAGAGAAGAAGAGAAGAGGAGAAGAGAGUGAAGUGAAAACUUUGAAAUGGGCCGUUGAUGGCAGUUUUUCAAUUUUUUAUGUUGGAAGAGGAAUGGGACAAGAUUAGCGGUUUCUCAAGGACAAAAUAAAAUGUAGGUUCGGAUCAAAGGACGGUGACACGUGGAGGCUGAUUAGGUGACCCGAACCAUUAAUUGCUAAUUUCCUAAGGAAAAUAUGUUUGACGCCCUUGACCCUUGACUUCGCUUUCACUCACUCACUCACCCACCCACCCACUUUGCAAGGGCAAAGGCCAAAACUACAGAUUGUUUCACAAAAUGACAGAAUUGACCUUCCACCUGGGACCGAGCUUAAUCAGAGAGCACACGUGGACAUGUGACAGGAUAUGAUGUCAAACUGGGACCCACGUACCUGGUCCUGCCAAUCGAUGUUACUGAGCUACGUG
This 1369-nucleotide long non-coding RNA is filed under the name Prunus dulcis (almond). Its description in RNAcentral is "sRNA ncRNA". Lineage: Eukaryota; Viridiplantae; Streptophyta; Magnoliopsida; Rosales; Rosaceae. The record is from RNAcentral.